This is a long non-coding RNA of Mirounga angustirostris (Northern elephant seal), 5827 nucleotides long. RefSeq lists it as uncharacterized. Lineage: Eukaryota; Metazoa; Chordata; Mammalia; Carnivora; Phocidae. The transcript has 5 exons. The record is from RefSeq and is a predicted model, not a curated record.
GAUUCCAUUUAUAUGAAAUGUCCAGAACAGGCAAAGUCAUAGAGAUGGAAAUUAGAUUAGUCAUUGACAACAGAAUGGAAGAAAAAGGAAUUGGGAGUGACUGCUAAUAGGAUAAAUCAAAAUAAUUUCUUAGUCUGAAGAUAAGCUGAACUAUAUGAAGAAUGUAAUAGAUGAAGUGUGCUGCAGGCUGGACAGGACAACAGAGAUGUCAAGAGAAACAUUUUUUUUUAAUUGUGGAUAAUGUUCAGAGUUAACCCACUGGCUAAAGCUUGAUUCAGGGACAAGUGACCAUCAAGAUUCAUCUCUCUGUUCUGGCUUACAAGAGGGGGCACCAUUCUUCAUUCUCAUACUCCAGGUGAUGGGCACUGGCAGCUUUGGACUCAGCCUAAUCAUCACAAAAUAAAUGCAGCUCCAGACCUCACACUCAUACUACCAAAUCUGCAGGCCCUGUAGCCCUCAAAAUACUAUCAGGAUAUUAAAUCCAAUUCAGAAGAUUGAAGAAAUGUUCAUGUAAGUAGACCUGACAGAGAUCAACAACAGUGGGGAAAUCUUACCACUCCAUAGGCCUGAAGAGGUACUGGAGUAUUUGGUCCUUUGUUGUCUGAAGUUUGUUUCACAACAGACCUGCUUCUAAAUCUUAGUCCACCCAAGUAAGAAGCUGCUUAGCUUAUGGAUUUUUCUUCAAUUCUGGCUGAGCUGCAAUUGAAGAAUUGGCUCAAGACAAAAUAAUUCUGUUCAUUUCCACAGUUUCUUCUCCUCUCUAGCUGGCGGAUAUUAUUGGGGGCUUUCAUAUUUGUUUGUGGGCUUAUUUCUGUAACACCUUAAUUUCUGCAACACUUGCUGCACUGUGUUGUGAAACUAUACAUUAGAUUGAACUUGUGGCUUGAUAAUAAUUGUUGGAUUUGUAGUAUGAGGUUAAGACCUUUAUAAGGGUCAAUAUAGAUCAUUUUUGUUCCUCAUUUUUUUUUUAGUUCUUUUGGUUAGCUUUACUGGUAUGAGGGAGGAGAACUCCUGUAAAUGUGCCCUUUGCCUACAAAUUUCCCGUACAUGUUUAAAAAAAUACCUGUUUCAGAGAGAAUUUGGCUAUAGCAAAUAAAAGAAGAGCAAGAUCAAGUUCCCCUAAUAGGUGACUAAAUGAAGAAGAAAAUAAGGAAGUUAGGUAAAAGAGUUAUUUUAAAGUGAGUGGGUUCAGAUUUUCUGUUCUUAAAUUUGAGAUGAAAAUAGGAUGUUAAAACAGAAACCUCCUGCGUAGAGCUGCAAACACGGCCUUGCACUCAAACUCCCAUGGCAGCUUCAGUGAGAAAUGGGUUAAAUAGAGUACAUUGAGGGAGGAGUAGAAACCUUGGAAGACAAUUACAGAGGAGGAAGAGGAGCUGGAUUUAGUAGAGGAGACAGAAAGAUAACUGAUGGAGUGUUGCACACUAGUGUGUUUCCUUUUAAGUCUUUUUUAUUGGAUUUAAUAUCAAGAAAUCCUUUAUCUCGGGUUACAGAUUUUUCCUGCUAUCACUGAUGUUUCUUCAUUCUCUACUUUGUAUGUGCUUUAUCCUUCCCAAUUAAUUUAGACACAUUUCCAUUAUUAAGGUAACAUAUAGAUAAGGUAGCAAUUCCAAAUGGAUAUCCUUAUCAGAACAAACCUAGGUAUCGUGCAAUAAAACCUCCAUCAUGAAGUGAAUGUUAACAAAUCAUUUUCAUAGGAAAUGUCAUUUUAUUAUAGACAAAUUCAUGCUCAGUGAUUAGCCCAGGCUUCUGACACCUAAAUUAAAAGACAUUUUCAUGCUAUUUUUCAUUUGAUGUUGAGAUACCUUUCAUGCUGUUAAUUCUCCUCCGGUAGCAAUAGUUACAGCCAAUGUCUGCUGGCCACAGAUGUACUCCCCUACUAUCAGACCUCUAUUCAUUUAUUCAGCAUAUCUUAAUUAAGCCUCUAUAACAUCAUUUGCUAUGUGCUAAAAACUAUUCAAAAAUAAUAUCCAAGAGUCUCUGUCUUCAAGGAGAUCACUGUUCAGGGAUUAUUAUUAGUCAUUAGAAUCAAUUUUUUAAUUGCUUUUUUUUAUUAAAGUCUUUUGGUACCUCUAGAACCUAUGUACCAAUGUAGAAAUAAUCAUCAUUUUCAAAUGGAAUAAAAUCUAACUGAUUUAUUCAAAGAGGAAAAGAAAUGUGUAUUGAACAAUAAAGGAAACUGAACUCUUACCUUUCAAAUUGAAUGUUUCAGAAGCGAUAGCUGGCUUGAAUGGAGUCAUCUUUGAAGAAUAUUGGCCUUCAGUCAGUAUGCUUUUCAAUGGUUGAGAAUAAUUGUCAAAAAUUAUAAUUAAUGAUUAUUAAGUGAGUCAAUAAUAUAGACCCUCCUUUUGUCCAGCAUAGUGCUAGAUAAGAGAGAAUUUUUAAAGUAAUUAUGACAUAAAUUGAGAACCGGAAGUAACAUAUGAAAUAAGUUGAAAUACACUACACGAUACUCGAUAGUUUACAAAGCAUAACCAUGAACACUACCUUAUUGGAUUAUAUACUAUUCUCUCUUUUGAGCUGGCAUAAAUACAAUAGAGCAGACAAUCAGGACUGAUAUAGUGGGACAGAUUAAAAUAUUACAGAGGACAAGGAAAGGAGAAACCAGUGUGGACUGGAGUAGUAGGCAAUGUACUAUUCUUUAUUUACUUAAUCAUUUUAAAAUCCAUUUUCCCAGCUAGGUCCUAUGGAUGCUUCAAUACUCAUUCUUUAACUCAGUUAAACUUUAACUUUAACUCAGUUUUGAAUAAACAAUUAAGAGGGGAGAAGACAUUAUUAAAGGCAGGUGGAUAGGAAAAAAAAAUUCUGUAAACAUUGCCAUUGAAAGGAAUACAAAAGAGAGGUGAAUGUGUGACAUUUAUUUUAGAGCCUCUUCCUCAUUUUUACUAAACCCACUGCCUGGAUUCCUUUGUGCACUGAACAUGUUGUGGCCAAGUCUAAUUUCUCAUGGAUGUUGUGUUCUGCUCAUAACUCCUGCCAGAAAUUCGGGGAAUUGUUGUUCAGAUCAACCUGGACAACAAUUAUGUGCUCUGUGCACAUGUUUAACUAAACCAUGAUCAGAAAUGAUACUUCGCUGCAAAAUGGCAAAGUUGAAUAGGAUGAGUGAACAUUCCCUUGGUUUCUUUAAUCUUCUUUGGGCCAAACAAAAUAACUCAAUACACAUGCAUGCAUACACAGCUGAAGAGCUUUUAAUUGCCUUUUAAGUGUUUUUGUGUUUUUGAAAUUUUCCCAAGGCAGCUUGAAGAAACCAUUGCAUUUUAAUGGUAAUGGGGAUAGGUACUAAAACGCCGAGGUGCCCGCACUCAUAACAAGUCUCCCCCAAACCUCCCCUUAUCCUUCUCCUGUCUCUACCUUUCUGUGUUACAUCGUGGACCUCACGGGUGAAGGUCAGAAGAGAUCACCAUGGGGAAAUCAGAGAAAGAUAAAGGGAAUCUUACCAUUUCUCACCUCUUGUGUGUAAAAACACUUUCUACUUCUUCAGUCAAGGGGGCAUAUGGAUCAGCCUCUGCCCUCGUAUUUGAACUUGAUCCUGACAAGUGAUUGAGACAAGACAGAAAAUGGAGUUCGUUUGAGCAGAUGCAUGUCUUUUUUUUUUUUUAAAGCACAUACACAAUACCAGUACAUUUAAAACUUAAAAUUGACAUAUAAACUGGGCACAAUAGUGUCUUAUGACACUCUACUUACAAAACACAGAACCAACAUAAAAUAGCCAGGGAAUAAAUACAAGAUUGUGUGGUAAUUAACUGCUAAAUUGUGAAUUAAAAGCAAUAAGUAACCAAUAAUAUUAUAUUCAUUUUCUCUCCUAUGUAAAUAAUACUUUUUAAAAACAUUUUUAUUGGAAUAACUAUUCUACUCUCAGAUUUAUCACUAUCUUCCAAAAUGAAAACCAUCCAAAUUUCAACAUACAGGAUUCAGCUGCAACAGCUGUACCACUAAAAAAAAAAUAGCAAAUACAAACCUAAGAUGAACAUACUUGGCUAAACAGCAUUUUUCUUCAUUAUUGGCUUUUUUGGUUGUUAUUAUUUUGGCUGAAUUUGAUUUGGACAACUGACAUUCAACAUCUCAAAAUUUCUAACCCCUUCUCAGAGUCUCUGAGUGAAAAUAGAAAAAAUGAGGUAAUUCAAAGUCAGUAAAAUAGUAAAAGCCAAGAAAUUCUGAAGGGAAAAUAAAACCUUUUAUAAACCAAGAGAAGGAAAAAGGCAAGUGGGUAUAGAGAAACCAACAAGACAAACUUGAAGUAGAAGAAAAAAAUAAUAAAAUGUAUCAUGUUCUUACAAAAAUAAAAUAAAAUAAAAUAAUUGGCAUAAGGAAAUCAAAAGGAAAAGGAGAAAUUCUAGAAAAAGAUAUUCUAUGUGGUCAAGAGAGAGUUGCACAGGAGACAGAAGACGUGGGUUUCAGCCUCACCCAUUGCUAACUGGUUUUGUGACUUUUGGCAGGAUAUUGCCUCUUCCUGGGUUUCACUUCCAACUCUGUAAAAUCACUUUGCCUCAGAAGUGUCAGAUCACUUCUGUUUCUCAAAUUCCUUGAGAGGAGACAUUUUUGCCUCUCUUUGUUUCUUCUUUUGCUAUUGUUUACUACCAAAAACUUAAAACUAAUGAACUUGCUACAUUAGACUAACUGAAAUAGCAAAGUACUAAUUUAAUACUGCCUGUUUUGACACAUGAAAAGAUACUCAACAUCACUCAUCAUCAGGGAAAUGCGAAUCAAAUCUACAAUGAGGUAUCACCUCACACCUGUCAGAAUGGCGAAAAUAAAAACCAUAAGAAGCAGUAAGUGUUGGUGAGGAUUUGGAGAAAAAGGAAUCCUCAUGAACUGUUGGUGGGAAUGCAAACUGGUGCAGCUACUAUGGAAAACAGUGUGGAGUUUCCUCAAAAAAUUAAAAAAGAAUUACCCUAUGAUCCAGUAAUUCCACUACUGGUAUUUACCCAAAGAAUACAAAAAUACUAAUUCAAAAAGAUAUAAGUACCCCUAUGUUUAUUGCAGCAUUAUUCACAAUAGCCAAAGCAUGGAAGCGACCCCAGUGUCCCAUUGAUAGAUGAAUAGAUAAAGAAGUGGUAUUUAUACACAAUGGACUGUUACUCAGCCAUAAAAAAAGAAAAAUUUGCCAUUUGCAGCAACAUGGAUAGAUCUAGAAGGUAUAAUGCUAAGUAAUGUCAGUCAGAGAAAGACAAAUACCGUAUGAUUUCAUAUAUGUGUGGGAUUUAAGAAACAAAACACAUGAACAAGGAAAAAAGAGACAAAUAAUAAUAAUAAUAAUAAUAAAAAGCAGACUCUUAACUAUAGUGGACAAACUGGUGGUUACCAGAGGGGAAAUGGGUGGGAGGAUAGGUGAAAUAGUUGAAUGGGGAUUAAGAGUACACUUAUCAUGAUGAGCACUGAGAAAUAUAUAUAAUUGUUGAAUCACUAUAUUAUAUACCUGAAACUAGUAUACAACUAUGUUAGCUAUACUGAAAAUUUUAAAAACUCAAAAUAAAAAAAAUACUGCCUAUUUUCAGGAUUAAAAUAGUUAACAAGUAGGGUGAGUAAAUGAGCCCCUGUUUCAACUAUUCACAACUUCCCUGAGUGUAUAUAGGGUACUGAUACACUAAGAAUCUCUGAUUGGCAUGGUAUCCCAGAAAUACUAAAUAUUUCUUUAAUGCUCUGUGUCUAAAAUGAAGGCAAGAAAAGAGAAGGAGAUUAAUUUGUCUGUGAUGACCAAAGAUCAAAUACAGACUGAGGGUUGUGCUUAUAUAAGGACAAAAGAAAUUAUCAGGGUAUCUCUAUGGAUUGUAAAUGUAUUACUUCUACUUUCCUUUUAAGUAUUUCAUUUAGUUUUACCAUUUUGAUUAUA